This 1075-nucleotide ribosomal RNA is filed under the name Providencia rettgeri. RNAcentral describes it as "partial 23S ribosomal RNA". The record is from RNAcentral. Lineage: Bacteria; Pseudomonadati; Pseudomonadota; Gammaproteobacteria; Enterobacterales; Morganellaceae.
UAGCGGCGAGCGAACGGGGAGCAGCCCAGAGUCUUAAUCAGCAUUAGCAUCAGGAGAACGGUCUGGAAAGUCCGGCAGUAAAGGGUGAUAGCCCCGUAUCCGAAGGUGUUAGUGUUGUGAACUCGACGAGUAGGGCGGGACACGUGUUAUCCUGUCUGAAUAUGGGGGGACCAUCCUCCAAGGCUAAAUACUCCUGAUUGACCGAUAGUGAACCAGUACCGUGAGGGAAAGGCGAAAAGAACCCCGGCGAGGGGAGUGAAAUAGAACCUGAAACCGUGUACGUACAAGCAGUGGGAGCCCCAUCACUCAAGUGCCUCGGCAAUUGAGUGAUGGUGUAAAACCAUCACAAUAACAGCGCAGGAUUUGCCAACAAGAUUGGCUGAUUUUUUCAAGCCGCAGCGCAGUGGACAUCGAAGUCCAUGAGCAGCGGAAGUUAAAAAAUCGGGCAAGAUUGGCCGCAAAGCCAAGCGGGACAUUUGAGGAUGGGGUGACUGCGUACCUUUUGUAUAAUGGGUCAGCGACUUAUAUUCUGUAGCAAGGUUAACCGWAUAGGGGAGCCGUAGGGAAACCGAGUCUUAACUGGGCGAAUAAGUUGCAGGGUAUAGACCCGAAACCCGGUGAUCUAGCCAUGGGCAGGUUGAAGGUUGGGUAACACUAACUGGAGGACCGAACCGACUAAUGUUGAAAAAUUAGCGGAUGACUUGUGGCUGGGGGUGAAAGGCCAAUCAAACCGGGAGAUAGCUGGUUCUCCCCGAAAGCUAUUUAGGUAGCGCCUYGUGAACUCAUCUUCGGGGGUAGAGCACUGUUUCGACUAGGGGGUCAUCCCGACUUACCAACUCGAUGCAAACUACGAAUACCGAAGAAUGUUAUCACGGGAGACACACGGCGGGUGCUAACGUUCGUCGUGAAGAGGGAAACAACCCAGACCGCCAGCUAAGGUCCCAAAGUCAUAGUUAAGUGGGAAACGAAGUGGGAAGGCUCAGACAGCCAGGAUGUUGGCUUAGAAGCAGCCAUCAUUUAAAGAAAGCGUAAUAGCUCACUGGUCGAGUCGGCCUGCGCGGAAGAUGUAACGGGG